UCUCCAGAAUCUGUCCGUGUAGCUGCUUGUGAAUUGAAAGGCCGCCUGUUUGGCUGACAUGAUGUGGGGAGUUAGAUAGAAUGAUCUGGGUGAGGAUGGGCAAAUGAACUUCAAGUUUAAAAGGUCAUCUGACAAAAAAGAAACAAGCCGAAGCAAAAUUCAGGUUUUUAAAAUGGAUUUCAUACCACAUGGGAAACAAAAUGAAUUUACAUAGAGGAGAACUACAGUAAUAACUGAAGAUUUACAGCAUGUACUUUAGAUAUUAGUCCAUGGUAACAGCCUGGCUCUAGACCUGUACUGCUGGUCCAUCAGUCGCUCUUCCACUUUGGUGAAAUAUCUACGGGAUGUAGAGAAAAUUGGUCUCUCAUAUACCUCUCAUUAUGAACGUCACUAUCUUUGUGGUCCCCUGCAGGCAAGCUUACAGGCCAAACUGCGAUGGUGUACAGCAUGGAUUUUCUUGGGAAAAAAAUCAUGUUGAAACUUCUAUUAAAUUCAGCGGCCCUUAUACAAUCCUACAGCUAUACUCCAAAUACAUCUUAAAUAACCAACAUUACUGAUCAAAGUCUGACAUGACUAUUGCUGAAUCCUUGAAUGGUGGUCUUAUUUGUUGAACUCUGGAAACUUUAUUUUUGACGAAUAUUUGAAUUAGACUAAUCCUUAUGAAGACAACCUGUUAUUGUGAAAUGCCCCUGUCUUAUUAAAGUAGAAUUUGAAAAGUUGUUACAGCACAAAACCGAGCACUGCAAUACCUCUCAGGACUACACAGGUGUGCACAGGCAGUACUAAAAGCCUAAUACACAAUCACAGAGCUGUUGUGUGGUCUGUGUGGACUAGAAGCAGAUCUGCACCACAUGAGGGAAACAACUGAAAAGGGCAAAUGAAACAUUACCUGUAAACAAGCUGUGACAUGCAAUUAUGAGGAUCUCCAGUGUGCAGCCAUUUUGAGAGACUGGUCACCAUCAGAGUUUAAAGGGAUAUUCCGGUUUAAGUUUAAUCCAUGGUCUAACACACCAUGACACUGAGUAAGGCCCCCCCCCCCUUGAGAGAUCAAGCUUUCUGACCGCUAGCAUAUAUAUUUUUAGUAACCUCAAAAAAGACCGAACGAUAACAAUACACUGCAGUCUAUGCCUCCAGCAAGAAACCGUCAUCAAAAAGAACACACCUCACCACUCUCCUGCAGCAGCAUGCUCGUAGUGGGGAAGCCCUGACGAGUCGAUUACCGAGUACAGUAGAGCUCUGCAGCUCAAGGAUGAAAAUGUAUAAUUAUUACACCAUAGAAAUGCAAUCAAAGUUGUGUGUGUCUUCCCCACCAGUUUAUAACAGUUAUUAUCGAGAGCUGACAGGGGAAAGAAUGGAAUUAAGCAUUUCUAACUGCACUCGUUAAUUGACUUCUUGUAUCUGUGCAGGACAGUAGAAUGUCCAGACAGAGUAUUGAAAAAUGUAAAAUGGAAUUGAUGCCCUUUGGACAAGCAAACCAAUUGAAGUUGUUGUGGCUGUUGCAAGACAUGCUGAACAGAAGUAAAACUUCUCCAUGCGGCACAAGGAAUUUCAGAGUUUGAGGCCUGCUGAUCUCAUCAUAGGCGAGGUCGGAAAGUUUGGCCCUUAAUGCCUUCAACAUUUUUCAACAGAUUUACGCCAUUCAAACACAGGAUAUUAAUCUGGUCUGUUAAGUGAUUGAAACAAAUAAACUCCUGGCUAAUUAUUUAUUUUCCCUUCGGUGUGUGAGACACUAUUGUGACCGCAGUAAAAAAUGUUUCAUGAAAAAUACAAAAGAAAAAAAUCAACAUCUUUGUUUUAACUUGCUCGAUAAAAUUAAGUAUUUUCUGUUUACCUGUGUAGUAUUGAUUUAGUUCGGGUGUCACAUGGGUAAGGUAAUUUUAUUGUAUGUACUUUUAACUCCCAGUGUUUUUAAUACAUUCUGAUUUUUAGUGUGUGAUUUAUUUGUUUUUAUUGGACGAAGAGUAUACUGGGAGUGUGUGUGCUUUUAUUUUGAAAACCUUACCCUGAUUGCGACACCCCUUAAACUAAUCACUACACCUGAGAGAUUGGCAGGACUUUAAGAAGACGAACAGAUAAAAGCUGCUAGAGGGACGAGACGAACAGAGCGGGCGAAGGAUGAGGAAGCGACGAACAGUGCAGUGACUGCCGUCUUGCCCCCGCUAUCGUGAAGCCGUGCCGGCAGAGGACGACGGUGCAGAGCCAGGAGCCAAAGACCUAGACCGAACAAAGGACGUGUAGCUCCCUUCCCCUCAGUGACAGAGCCACCCCCGCCGGUGUAUUGGACGUGUGUUGCCACCCCCGCAGAUAAGGCCCCAAACUGUUUUAUUGGACUUUUAUCGUCCUUUUUUUACUAGCUGCCAGGUUUUAUCAAUUCUGAUUUUAUUCAGUGAAUAAAUAUCAGUGUGCACCUUG
This is a long non-coding RNA of Acanthopagrus latus (yellowfin seabream), 2412 nucleotides long. RefSeq lists it as uncharacterized. The transcript has 3 exons. The record is from RefSeq and is a predicted model, not a curated record. NCBI's taxonomy places the organism in Eukaryota, Metazoa, Chordata, Actinopteri, Spariformes, Sparidae.